RNAcentral lists this transfer RNA (66 nucleotides) under Nephtys sp. 'San Juan Island' YV-2008. RNAcentral describes it as "tRNA-Glu". The record is from RNAcentral. Lineage: Eukaryota; Metazoa; Annelida; Polychaeta; Phyllodocida; Nephtyidae.
AUAUCUAUAGUAUAACUCAUUACCUUAACUUUUCACGUUAAAAAUUCAUAUUUUAUGGUAGAUAUC